Long non-coding RNA from Jatropha curcas, 896 nucleotides. RefSeq lists it as uncharacterized. Lineage: Eukaryota; Viridiplantae; Streptophyta; Magnoliopsida; Malpighiales; Euphorbiaceae. The record is from RefSeq and is a predicted model, not a curated record.
AUAUAGAUAAAGCCCUUCGAUGAGAAUUAGUGCCUCCCACCUGGCGUCGUUAAUUUGUCACUGUAUCACUGGCUGGAUACGGUUUCUUUGAAACACUCGUUCACAGUUGUACAUUGCCGGCGCUGAACUCAGCUUCAACAAUCUCCUUUUUCUCCAUCCAUUUAUUGUUUUUCUGAUUUUCUCUGGAAAGGGUUUCUUGCUGAUAAAUAAUGGUUGAUUGUUCAGUUGGUGAAACUACAGGUACGAAAACGGGUUUAUGUAGUCCGAGUCUAUGACUGGCUCCGAACCCGAGUAAGAGAUGGAGCAAGCUCCUUCCUCAGAUAUACUAUGCUCCUUCCUGGCUUAUUCUCUGUCUGGGGAUUGUUUCCGUACAUACUCUAUGAGGUACUGAAAUAAGAUUGACAGCUCUUGCUUUAUAUUUAGAUGUUGCACUUAGCGGAAAAAGUGUUUGCUCCUGGCUAUGAUUUCUGCAGUUCCUUCUUUCUUGAUUUCAAUGAUAUUUGUUGGAAAGACAAAAUGGCUCCUCGACGAGGUCAGGUAUCUCCUUAAUUGGGCGGUGAGCAGCAGUUGCACACAGGUUCUACAACAUUAAGAAGUAUGAAUUUAAGCCAAUCAAUAAGCAACUUCAAGUUAAAAAAACUAUUUAGAAGCAAAGAGAGAGAGAGAAAAAAUGGUAUUCCUUGCAUAUACAAACUUAUCAGGAAAAGAACGAGUGCUAAAACCUUAAGGUUACUUCCAGAAUACCCAUCUAUCAUACUGGCAAUUGCAUCAAAAUCAACAUCAGGCGACAAAUCUUCCUUAGUCAAAAGAACUUUCAGUAUCUUUGCUCUAUUUGGAGCAUCAGGCAGAUUGACCAUCAAUCUGUGCAAGAACAUGUAUGGACUACUUUCCUAAAU